This 69-nucleotide transfer RNA is filed under the name Pholis gunnellus (rock gunnel). RNAcentral describes it as "tRNA-Arg". It matches the Rfam family "tRNA". From Rfam's summary of the family: Transfer RNA (tRNA) molecules are approximately 80 nucleotides in length. The record is from RNAcentral. RNAcentral also lists the same sequence under 5 other names. Lineage: Eukaryota; Metazoa; Chordata; Actinopteri; Perciformes; Pholidae.
AGGCAAUUAGUUUAAGAAAAACCUUUGAUUUCGGCUCAAACACUUAUGGUUAAAGUCCAUAAUUACCUA